RNAcentral lists this ribosomal RNA (322 nucleotides) under uncultured bacterium. RNAcentral's name for it is "bacterial SSU rRNA". It matches the Rfam family "Bacterial small subunit ribosomal RNA", at positions 335 to 646 of the family's 1533-position model. The record is from RNAcentral.
ACUCCUACGGGAGGCAGCAGUGGGAAUAUUGCACAAUGGGCGCAAGCCUGAUGCAGCCAUGCCGCGUGUGGUGAAGAAGGCCCUUCGGGUUGUAAAGCACUUUCAGUUGUGAGGAAGGUUGGUGUCGUUAAUAGCGGCAUCCAUUUGACGUUAGCAACAGAAGAAGCACCGGCUAACUCCGUGCCAGCAGCCGCGGUAAUACGGAGGGUGCGAGCGUUAAUCGGAAUUACUGGGCGUAAAGCGCAUGCAGGUGGUUUGUUAAGUCAGAUGUGAAAGCCCGGGGCUCAACCUCGGAACUGCAUUUGAAACUGGCAGACUAGAG